AGAGGGUGAACUAAUCCAAAUUGCUUUAGAAAGGUGUCUCACUCCAUUCGACCAUUCCUCCUUCAUGGCCUCCAUGACGAAUGCUUCAUUGAGAGGAUUGGGAGAAUAAGGAGGUACUGUGUGCCUGAGGGAAGGUUUUGUUGAGCGAUUUCUAGGUGGAGAGAUAUGGAUAGAAGAAGGUAGCUUCCCUAAUUGGACACUGAAGAAAUUUGAGGUGUUUCUAUGGCUUCUAGAUGGAUCAUCCUCGAAUCGGGAAGAGAACUCCGAAGGUUGAAUUUCUUCUUGCUUCAGUGUUCGUGGUUCGGGAGAGGGUUCUAUGGCUGAAUCUGAGGAUGUGGAAGGUGAGGAUCAUAUUCUACUGCUAGAAGAUCAUCAUGGCUCGACUUACGCUCUUUUGGGAGGGGUUUGGGCUUGACUGCGAAGGGGGUGUAGAUACUAUCUAGGAUUUUCCUACCUCCAGCCGGAGCCUUAUGGAGAAAUGACCCUCCAGCAAUGCCAUCGAGAUAAUAGGCGGAAUCCUUAUCGAGACCCUUAUAAAAGUUUCAAAAAAGAUUUAGGUAUUGAUAGGACAGGGCAAGAUUCCACUAAAAGUGAAAAUCUAAACCAAGCUACACCUAUGGACUCCCUCUCAUUCUACUGAAAACAGCGGAUAUCCCUUCGUAGAGCAACGAUACGGGACAUGGGAAAGAACGCAAGACAAAACUUU
Molecule: long non-coding RNA, 706 nt
Filed under: Setaria viridis
Lineage: Eukaryota; Viridiplantae; Streptophyta; Magnoliopsida; Poales; Poaceae
Description: long non-coding RNA (SVIR_LNC010766)
Source: RNAcentral